This 525-nucleotide ribosomal RNA is filed under the name uncultured bacterium. RNAcentral's name for it is "bacterial SSU rRNA". It matches the Rfam family "Bacterial small subunit ribosomal RNA", at positions 9 to 526 of the family's 1533-position model. The record is from RNAcentral.
GAGUUUGAUCCUGGCUCAGAACGAACGCUGGCGGCGCGCCUAAUACAUGCAAGUCGAGCGAGAAGGUGUAGCAAUACACUUGUAAAGCGGCGAACGGGUGAGGAAUACAUGGGUAAUCUACCAUCGAGUGGGGAAUAACCAGCCGAAAGGUUGGCUAAUACCGCGUACGCCUCCGGAUCUUCGGGUUCGGAGGGAAAGCCACACUGUGAGUGCGGCGCUCUUUGAUGAGCUCAUGUCCUACCAGCUUGUUGGUAGGGUAACGGCCUACCAAGGCUUUGACGGGUAGCUGGUCUGAGAGGACGAUCAGCCACACUGGCACUGCGACACGGGCCAGACUCCUACGGGAGGCAGCAGUAAGGAAUAUUGCGCAAUGGGCGAAAGCCUGACGCAGCGACGCCGCGUGGGGGAUGAAGGUCUUCGGAUUGUAAACCCCUUUCGGGAGGGAAGAUGGAGCGAGCAAUCGUUCGGACGGUACCUCCAGAAGCAGCCACGGCCAACUUCGUGCCAGCAGCCGCGGUAAUCGCC